ACCUGUCCAAAAAAACAAAACAAAAUACACCCACAAAAGCAGAGGAGAGAAUAAAAAGGGACAGUGCAAGACCGCUGAAGAGAAAUUAAGUAUUUAAAAAAGAAUUUUUGGAAAAGGACAAACUCUUAAACCCUAAUAAAACAGAAGCUACAACGCGAAUCGAUAUGCUCCAGAUUUUUUUAUCAGUAUAAAGACGGAAAAUUUACAGAUGGGUUUGGA
This 219-nucleotide long non-coding RNA is filed under the name Nicotiana benthamiana. RNAcentral's name for it is "long non-coding RNA (NBEN_LNC035193)". The record is from RNAcentral. Lineage: Eukaryota; Viridiplantae; Streptophyta; Magnoliopsida; Solanales; Solanaceae.